Molecule: ribosomal RNA, 509 nt
Filed under: Bacillus amyloliquefaciens
Lineage: Bacteria; Bacillati; Bacillota; Bacilli; Caryophanales; Bacillaceae
Description: bacterial SSU rRNA
Rfam family: Bacterial small subunit ribosomal RNA
Source: RNAcentral
GCGCAUGGCGCGGCUAUACAUGCAGUCGAGCGGACAGAUGGGAGCUUGCUCCCUGAUGUUAGCGGCGGACGGGUGAGUAACACGUGGGUAACCUGCCUGUAAGACUGGGAUAACUCCGGGAAACCGGGGCUAAUACCGGAUGGUUGUCUGAACCGCAUGGUUCAGACAUAAAAGGUGGCUUCGGCUACCACUUACAGAUGGACCCGCGGCGCAUUAGCUAGUUGGUGAGGUAACGGCUCACCAAGGCGACGAUGCGUAGCCGACCUGAGAGGGUGAUCGGCCACACUGGGACUGAGACACGGCCCAGACUCCUACGGGAGGCAGCAGUAGGGAAUCUUCCGCAAUGGACGAAAGUCUGACGGAGCAACGCCGCGUGAGUGAUGAAGGUUUUCGGAUCGUAAAGCUCUGUUGUUAGGGAAGAACAAGUGCCGUUCAAAUAGGGCGGCACCUUGACGGUACCUAACCAGAAAGCCACGGCUAACUACGUGCCAGCAGCCGCGGUAAUAAAA